This is a non-coding RNA of Caenorhabditis elegans, 176 nucleotides long. Lineage: Eukaryota; Metazoa; Nematoda; Chromadorea; Rhabditida; Rhabditidae. The record is from Ensembl.
AAGGAGUGUGCAACAAUGGAAACAAGUCUAGCAAAUUGAAGUGGACAAACCGUUUUUUGCCGAUCGAAAUUGUGAGACGAUGGACAAAUGGAACAAUAGUAAAGAGAAAACUUAAAGAAAGAAAGAAGAGAGGAAAAAAUAAACAAGACACUUUUUUGUUGAUGAUGGUUACCUCU